GUGCUUGCUUUAGCAUUACAUAUGCUAAAAUUGGAAUGAUGCAGUGAUUAACAGAGCCCCUGCUCAAUGAUAAAAUGCAAAAUUAUGAAGAUUUCUGUAUUUUA
Molecule: small nuclear RNA, 104 nt
Organism: Sorex araneus (European shrew)
Lineage: Eukaryota; Metazoa; Chordata; Mammalia; Eulipotyphla; Soricidae
Source: Ensembl